AUUAAUUCGAUGCAACGCGAAGAACCUUACCAAGGCUUGACAUAUACCGGAAACACUCAGAGAUGGGUGCCCCUUUUUGGUCGGUAUACAGGUGGUGCAUGGUUGUCGUCAGCUCGUGUCGUGAGAUGUUGGGUUAAGUCCCGCAACGAGCGCAACCCUCGUUCUAUGUUGCCAGCACGUAAUGGUGGGGACUCAUGGAAGACUGCCGGGGUCAACUCGGAGGAAGGUGGGGAUGACGUCAAAUCAUCAUGCCCCUUAUGUCUUGGGCUUCACGCAUGCUACAAUGGCCGGUACAAUGGGCUGCUAAGCCGUAAGGUGGAGCGAAUCCCAAAAAACCGGUCUCAGUUCGGAUUGGGGUCUGCAACUCGACCCCAUGAAGUCGGAGUCGCUAGUAAUCGCAGAUCAGCAACGCUG
This 414-nucleotide ribosomal RNA is filed under the name uncultured bacterium. RNAcentral's name for it is "bacterial SSU rRNA". It matches the Rfam family "Bacterial small subunit ribosomal RNA", at positions 945 to 1359 of the family's 1533-position model. The record is from RNAcentral.